CUCAGUGCCACCUGGGCUUUGUGGGGUGGGGCUGAUGCUGAGCAGCAGCACCUGUGGGGCUGGGCUGCUUUCUGAGGCACAGCUGUUACCCUUUGAGUCAGUGCAAUCAGUGCCCGGUGUGCAGGAGGUGCAAUCAGUGCUGCAAUAGAAGGCCCCGAGCUUUGGGUUUUCCUGGCCUGCUGACUGCUCCUGAGGCAGCAAGAAGGUUGCUACCACUGUGCAGGAGACGUGCACUGCUUCCCUGCAGGGUACACCUGUGAACAUGGGAGUUCAACCCAGUAAGGAGCCCUUCAUUGUGGUUUACAAGAAAAAAGCCAAGCAGGUGCAGAAGGAAGUUCCAGUGACUGCUGCAACACAUCCUCCAAAGUCUGAGGACUUCCAGGAUACUGCCAAAGAGCUGGCUAAGGGAACCUGUCAGCAUUGUCAGGCUUCUCCAGAUGCAAGAAAGGUUGUAGAAGUGAUCAAGAGCAAGCCCUCUGUGUUGGGGGCAGGGGGAGGAAAAUGCUUAUGAAUGUUUCCUUCUGUGCAUUGCAUCAUGGACUAGUUAAUGGACAACAGCAGGUAUUCAUGUCUUUAAUUGGAAAUGGCCUUACUGGGAAAUGGACAUCUUUUGUGUGUGCUGGAUGACCUCCCUUGGCUUGAGAUAGCUACUCCUAGCAGAUGCAUAUCUUAACCAGACUGACUCUGAUCCAUCUAUAGACAUGGAACAUAGCAACCUUCUAGGAAAUUGUUACCCUGCUGGGAGCUGCCCAUUACCAUCUGGAGACAUGGCUGAGUUUAAAAUGAGUACUUUAUGUGCAAUAUUACAUAGCAUCAGUGAGGUUACUUAACACACUGAGCCCUGUACUACCAAGACUUGCUCAAGACACAGAUAAUUCUAUAGGUCUUGCAACUUUAACACAAAUGAAGUUAUUUGAAAGAUGCAAGUAGUCUCAGUAAAAUGAAGACAAGUGCAGGAACUGAAGAAACCUGAGCUCUGUAAUGGGUGUUCUGUAACCUGAGUGUUUAUAACCUGGAUGUCAUCCAAUUAUCACUCAAGUAAUUCUUCAGUAAUGCUAUAACUGGACUUGAGGGAUCUCCUUGGCUAAUGCUGGGCUGGGGCAAAAAGACUUCACCAGCUUAAAAGCAGAGGUCGUGCAGCUCUCCUGCAGUUACUGUGCUCUGAGGCUGCAGUGACAGAACAAAGUCUUUGGCCAUAACUGUAAUAAGGUGGAAAUGCCUUGCUCUCUAAUUGAGGUUCAGACUGUUUUGAAAUUCGCACUUGAAAAGGAAACUGAGAUGUUUGCAACAUGACUCUUCAAAGCAUUUCUAAACAUGUGCUCUCUCCCCUCUGAAGUUUCACUUGGGUUGAAAGCAGCUUCAUUAUUUUUUCAUCUUCCUUCACUUACGAUGCUGUUGUCUCAAGCUGUUUGAUCUAACUUUCUUUUUGCUAACCCCAUUUCUACUCAGUUCAGUACAGAUUUAGGGUGGGGGAUGUGCUUUAAGGUCCCUGGAGCAAAACCAUCUUUUUCCCAUCGUGUCAAUGGUCUAAAGACAUGGUCACCUCUUACUACUGCUUUUUUCCUUCAGUCAGUUUAGGCUUCCAAGCACCUUGUGCUCAGUGUGAGUUAUAGCCACACUCAGCUGUCCUGCAUGCCUGUACAAAAUGCUUCUCUUCUGGAGUGUAUUGCUACAAUGAGGAAUAUGGAUAGCAUAACAAAAACAGGGCAGUUCUCUAGACAAUGUAGUUUAUUACUUGCUAGCUCAGUUUUGCUUACCUGUGUUGAUAUGAUCUAUGUUUAAUAUAAAAUGCAGAAUCCUGUUCUCUAUUAGCAUGAAUAGAUAGCUCAAGUGCUAAGCUCAUGAUGGGCAGGCAGGUCAAGCCCAGGCCAAGGUUAGCAGUGGGACUUGAUGUGCAGCUACAGAGAAAGAAAUAGCUCACUUUAUUUGGAAGGCUCUGGAAUGCUACAGUAUUAAAUUCAGUCACAGGUACACGCUGAAUGAAGAGGCUGAGAAAUAGUUUGGGCGCUGGGAGCUGAUAAAUACACUGCAUCCUCUUCACAAUGCCCACGGGCAACCUGGCAGAUUGCCGUGGUGGGGGGGUUGGCUGCAGUUCACAGGUAGGUGACUGGGACCUGCUUGGGGAUAGCAAAUCCAUCUGUAGCUGUAAGGUGCUGCUGUAGCAGAUCUGCUUUCAGGUGGCAGUGGGCAAAGCAGAGGCCAAGUACUUCUCAGCCAGUAACCUGGGCUGGGUGCCUCUUGCUCCCUGUGGAACAACUUGAUUUUUGUAGCUAUAUGAGCAGUGUGGGCCUGUGAGUGCUCUGACACACACAUGCAUUCCUUUAAAGUUGGUCUGUCAAGUCAAAUAAGUAAGCUUUUGCAAGAGAAGUGUAACAGCUUUCUGGAUAAUAUGUCUGCACACUUUUUUUUUCUAAUGCUGUAAAUGCAAAAAUAUCCGCAGAGGCUAACACAAAAUCAGGCUUCUUGUCUAUUCCUUUUCCUGUUCUGAUGUGCUUUGUCAAGAGUCAUAAACCAACGUUAUUCAAAUAAAAUGUUACAUGCACCAAUCUAAGAAUAUUCUUAAGCGGUGUUAAAUAGCAUUUUGUGGGAUACAAAAGGGAAUGGGGUGAGGAGGAACUGACUUAAUGGAACUAAUACUCAUGGAUGUAUGAAGAAGUACUGUGCGAAGCUUUGGGCAUGGGGUUUGUAGCUUGUCUUGAUGUAUGCUGAAGUACUGGAACAGAAAUACUUAACAGCUUUGCCUUGUGCUUAUCUUCUACCGGAGGACGUGGUGGAGUUGUUCUGUUUGAUA
Numida meleagris (helmeted guineafowl) is the source of this 2791-nucleotide long non-coding RNA. RefSeq lists it as uncharacterized. NCBI's taxonomy places the organism in Eukaryota, Metazoa, Chordata, Aves, Galliformes, Numididae. The transcript has 2 exons. The record is from RefSeq and is a predicted model, not a curated record.